GAGGUCCGACCUGCCCAGUGAUAUCAAUUCAACGGCCGCGGUAUACUGACCGCGCUAAGGUAGCGCAAUCACUUGUCUCUUAAAUCGAGACUAGUAUGAAAGGACCCACGAGAGUCUAACUGUCUCCUUUUUUUAAUCAGUGAAACUAAUCUCCCCGUGAAAAAGCGGGGAUCAUAAUAUAAGACGAGAAGACCCUAUGGAGCUUAAGAUUAAACAAUACUUCUUUUUUCCCCCCCAUUUUCAGAAAAAUACCCCCACAAAGAACUUUAUUGUUAAACUUCGGUUGGGGCGACCGCGGAGUAAAACCAACCCUCCACGCAAGUGGAAAUCCCCUCCACAACAAAGAGCCACAACUCUAUGAACCAAAAAUUGUUAAUUGACCCAAUGCUUGAUCAACGAAACAAGUUACCCUAGGGAUAACAGCGCAAUCUACUUUAAGAGUCCCUAUUGACAAGUAGGUUU
Molecule: ribosomal RNA, 462 nt
Filed under: Ischnocnema aff. guentheri MG-2013
Lineage: Eukaryota; Metazoa; Chordata; Amphibia; Anura; Brachycephalidae
Description: partial 16S ribosomal RNA
Rfam family: Bacterial large subunit ribosomal RNA
Source: RNAcentral